This 353-nucleotide long non-coding RNA is filed under the name Nicotiana benthamiana. RNAcentral's name for it is "long non-coding RNA (NBEN_LNC014654)". The record is from RNAcentral. Lineage: Eukaryota; Viridiplantae; Streptophyta; Magnoliopsida; Solanales; Solanaceae.
UCAUUUUCCCAUUCCGUGCUGUCCACUUAUCCAUCAUAAUGGAACAACCAAACUUGGUCCAUUCCACUUUAUGCUCCUCAAUAAUUUGGUCUACCUUAUUCACCUCCUUUUUAAGAUGAGUUACUCUAACUUCAUGAUAGCUAAGAGGCUUCAUCCCCGGGCCAUAUUGUCCUACAGCCUCAAUGAAUUUAUCAAAACUUUUGUAGUUGACACAGUUGAAAGGAAGGCCUGCAUCGUACAUCCAAUACACAAUCCCUUUGUGGCGUUAAAGCCUCGCCUCGCCUCACCUCGCUACACGCCUUUAGCGCUGUAGCGAGCGCUAUUUACAACCCCGGGAGACACAAUCCAAUACA